GAUGAAGAACGCAGCGAAAUGCGAUAAGUAAUGUGAAUUGCAGAAUUCCGUGAAUCAUCGAAUCUUUGAACGCACAUUGCGCCCCCUGGCAUUCCGGGGGGCAUGCCUGUCCGAGCGUCAUUUCUGCCCUCAAGCACGGCUUGUGUGUUGGGUGUGGUCCCCCCGGGGACCUGCCCGAAAGGCAGCGGCGACGUCCGUCUGGUCCUCGAGCGUAUGGGGCUCUGUCACUCGCUCGGGAAGGACCUGCGGGGGUUGGUCACCACUAUAUUUUACCACGGUUGACCUCGGAUCAGGUAGGAGUUACCCGCUGAACUUAAGCAUAUCAAUAAGCGAGGA
RNAcentral lists this unclassified non-coding RNA (336 nucleotides) under soil metagenome. RNAcentral describes it as "partial contains 5.8S ribosomal RNA, internal transcribed spacer 2, and large subunit ribosomal RNA". The stretch from base 1 to 120 matches the Rfam family "5.8S ribosomal RNA", at positions 35 to 154 of the family's 154-position model. The record is from RNAcentral.